Molecule: non-coding RNA, 640 nt
Organism: Ciona intestinalis (vase tunicate)
Lineage: Eukaryota; Metazoa; Chordata; Ascidiacea; Phlebobranchia; Cionidae
Source: RefSeq, a predicted model, not a curated record
UUCUUUUUCGAGUGGUUUAUUCAUUGUUACAAUUACAAUCAGCAACGAAAGACGUUUUACAUUUUUAGGCAAAUUAUUGUUUAUUUAAAUAGUAUUAAGUGUUGCAUUCAUUUAAAGUCGUCACUCACUGAAGGGAACUUUUCCACGAAAAGCAAACAAAGCGAGGAUGGUUGUUGAGAAGCCGCUUGACGAUUUUCCGUAUUUAGAAGUGACCGCAAAAAGUGGCGCGUGUGUUAAUUGAAUUUCAAUGCGUUGAAAGCGACUUUACCUUCCCAGGUUAUUUAGGGUUCACUAUGGCAACCGCUAACCACAAUGAAACGCACUACGCGUAACGAUGAGUCAAACUCUAAAUUUGAAUCAACUGAUCGUUUUGUGACGUCAAACACAAACUUCUGGCGGUCUAUUGAGUCGUAGUCACUUAAAUAACAUAAAAGUUGGCUUAUACACUUACCGCGGUAAAAACACUGCCUAAACUAAAAUCGCAAAUAUUGUUGAUUCACCGGCGAUAGUGCUUAUCACGUUUCGUCCACAGCAGAUUUCGUUCAAAAACCUUUGUGUAUACGACGUACGUUGUGCGCGUGACGUUUUUAAUGUCGUCAUACUUGCUAUUAAUUACAUAGAAUCAGUAAACACAUACUGG